Molecule: long non-coding RNA, 1721 nt
Organism: Eriocheir sinensis (Chinese mitten crab)
Lineage: Eukaryota; Metazoa; Arthropoda; Malacostraca; Decapoda; Varunidae
Exons: 2
Source: RefSeq, a predicted model, not a curated record
GUGUGUGUGUGUGUGUGUGUGAGAGAGAGAGAGAGAGAGAGAGAGAGAGAGAGAGAGAGAGAGAGAGAGAGAGAGAGAGAGAGAGAGAGAGAGAGAGAGAGAGAGAGAGAGAGAGAGAGAGAGAGAGAGAGAGAGAGAGAGAGAGAGAGAGAGAGAGAGAGAGAGAGAGAGAGAGAGAGAGGAAAAAACGGGUUCCAAAAGUCGUACGGAAAAAUAAAUAAAAAAGCGACUGAGUUGUGUGUGUGUGUGUGUGUGUUUGUGUGUGUGUGUGUGUGUGUGUGUGUGUGUGUGUGUGUGUGUGUGUGUGUGUGUGUGUUUCAGUGACUGCAAUAUCAAAUCACCAUGAUAAGUCUGCUCUCUCUCUCUCUCUCUCUCUCUCUCUCUCUCUCUCUCUCUCUCUCUCUCUCUCUCUCUCUCUCUCUCGCCAUUACCACAAAAAAGCAAUAACAACAACAAUAACACUUCUUCUUGCUCUUCUUCGUUGUCUUCUUUCUUCUUCUUCUUCUUCUUCUUCUUCUUCUUGUUGUUCUACUUCUUCUUCUCCAAAUAUUCCUUUUUCCUUAAUAUUGCAAUUUUCAAUGUACUACUACUACUACUACUACUACGAAUACUACUACUACUACUAUUGCUGCUAUUACUAAUAUUACUACUACAACCACUACUUCUUCUACUACUACUACUACCACUACUACUACUACUACUACUACUACUACUACUACUACUACUACUGUUCCUGCUACAACUACUAUUACUACUACUACUACCACCACUUCUUCUACUACUACUACUACUACUACUACUACUACUGCUACUAUUACUACUACUUCUACUACUACUACUACCAGUACAAACAUUACAACCCUGACAACCACCACUACAACUACUACUCCUACUACUACUACUACUACUACUACAAUUACUACAAAUGAAGAACAUAUGGAAAAUAAAGGUAAAGAAGAAAGAGAGGAAGGAAGGAAGGAAUGAAGGAAGGAAAAAUUUAAAAAAAGAAAAUGGACCAAUAACCCAAUCUUGUCCAUACACACACACACACACACACACACACACACACACACACACACACACACACACACCUUGAACAGGACAAUCAAAAUAAAUGUCGACUUUUUUUCCAUUUUUUUUCAUGUUUUUUUCCUGUUUUUUUUCCGAUCACUUUCUCGUUCACUGUUUGUUUGUGUGUUUGUUUAUCCAGUGACUUGUAUAGAUCAUGUUUUGGAAGCUGUAUAGUAAGUUUAAAAGCGUUUCCUAAAGUAUGUAAUAUAUAGGUAUGGUGUGUGUGUGUGUUUGUGUGUGUGUGUGUGUGUGUGUGUGUGUGUGUGUGUGUGAGGUUACAUCAGUCACAGUCACAUGCUUAGAUUACACACACACACACACACACACACGCACGCACCACAUGACAUCCCGAGAGAGAGUGUGUGUGUGUGUGUGUGUGUGUGUUCAGGGUAGGGCAAGUUAGAUUAGGAAGGCGACGAAAUACAGAAAUAAAACACUACCGGAGAGAGAGAGAGAGAGAGAGAGAGAGAGAGAGAGAGAGAGAGAGAGAGAGAGAGAGAGAUUCAGUUUCGCCUCACGUUUCCUUUCCGUUUCGUGUUUCUUCUUUGUUUCGUAGCGCGUAUCAGACAUGUAUAAAUCUCGACUCUUGUAUAGAGAAAAACAAUUCCCUUAUGAUGUAGAUUUUAAAUAAUAUAACCAGACUUUCAAUA